Molecule: ribosomal RNA, 468 nt
Filed under: uncultured bacterium
Lineage: Bacteria
Description: partial 16S ribosomal RNA
Rfam family: Bacterial small subunit ribosomal RNA
Source: RNAcentral
GACGAACGCUGGCGGCGUGCUUAACACAUGCAAGUCGAACGGAAAGGCCCUGCUUUUGUGGGGUGCUCGAGUGGCGAACGGGUGAGUAACACGUGAGUAACCUGCCCUUGACUUUGGGAUAACUUCAGGAAACUGGGGCUAAUACCGGAUAGGAGCUCCUGCUGCAUGGUGGGGGUUGGAAAGUUUCGGCGGUUGGGGAUGGACUCGCGGCUUAUCAGCUUGUUGGUGGGGUAGUGGCUUACCAAGGCUUUGACGGGUAGCCGGCCUGAGAGGGUGACCGGCCACAUUGGGACUGAGAUACGGCCCAGACUCCUACGGGAGGCAGCAGUGGGGAAUAUUGCACAACGGGCGGAAGCCUGAUGCAGCAACGCCGCGUGCGGGAUGACGGCCUUCGGGUUGUAAACCGCUUACGCCUGUGACGAAGCGUGAGUGACGGUAAUGGGUAAAGAAGCACCGGCUAACUACGUG